This 427-nucleotide ribosomal RNA is filed under the name uncultured bacterium. RNAcentral describes it as "partial 16S ribosomal RNA". It matches the Rfam family "Bacterial small subunit ribosomal RNA", at positions 354 to 796 of the family's 1533-position model. The record is from RNAcentral.
GUUGGGAAUCUUGCACAAUGGGGGAAACCCUGAUGCAGCGACGCCGCGUGGAGGAUGACGGAUCUAGGUCUGUAAACUCCUUUUUCAUGGAAAGACUUAGGACGGUACCAUGAGAAUAAGGACCGGUUAACUACGUGCCAGCAGCCGCGGUAAGACGUAGGGUCCAAGCGUUGUCCGGAUUUACUGGGCGUAAAGAGCGCGUAGGCGGUCUGUUAAGUGUGAAGUGAAAUCUCCAGGGCUCAACCCGGAAACUGCUUCGCAUACUGGCAGACUUGAGGAAUGCAGAGGUUUGUGGAAUUCCUGGUGUAACGGUGAAAUGUGUUGAUAUCAGGAGGAACACCCAUGGCGAAGGCAGCAAACUGGGCAUUAUCUGACGCUGAGGCGCGAAAGCGUGGGUAGCAAACAGGAUUAGAUACCCUGGUAGUCC